Molecule: ribosomal RNA, 2948 nt
Filed under: human gut metagenome
Description: bacterial LSU rRNA
Rfam family: Bacterial large subunit ribosomal RNA
Source: RNAcentral
AUCAGGGUCCACGGAGGAUGCCUGGGAGCCGCCAGACGAAGAAGGACGCGGUCAGCUGCGAAAAGCCGGGGGGAGGAGCCGACAUCCGACGAUCCCCGGGUGUCCGAAUGGGGUAACCCGAAUGUCUGGAUGACAUUCGCCUAUGCGUGAACACAUAGCGACAUAGGUGGAAUACGCCGGGAAGUGAACCAUCUAAGUACCGGCAGGAAGAGAAAUCAAAACGAGAUUCCCCAAGUAGCGGCGAGCGAACGGGGAGGAGCCCAAACCCGCGGCGUGCCAAGGACAGGUCCGUUGCGUCGCGGGGGUAGCGGGAGCCGUCGGUGCAGCGCCUGUGCUGCACGUCGAGUGAGAAACCACGACUCUAGGCGAACGGUCUGGGAAGGCCGGCCAGAGGGGGUGAAAGCCCCGUAGCCGAAAGCGUCGUGGCUCGAUGGACGGAGAUCCCAAGUACGUCGGGACACGAGGAAUCCUGACGGAAGCAGGGGGGACCACCCUCCAAGGCUAAAUACGUGGCGGCUACCGAUAGCGCAUAGUACCGUGAGGGAAAGGUGAAAAGGACCCCGGGAGGGGAGUGAAAGAGAACCUGAAACCGUGGACCUGCAAGCGGUCAGAGCCCGAGAGGGUGAUGGCGUGCCUUUUGUAGAAUGAGCCUGCGAGUCUUCGUAUGCAGCGAGGUUAAGGCAUAGGAGUGCCGGAGCCGAAGGGAAACCGAGUCCGAAAUGGGCGUACAGUUGCAUGCGGAGGACCCGAAGCCAAGUGAUCUAUCCAUGGCCAGGCUGAAGCUGGAGUAGAAUCCAGUGGAGGGCCGAACCUAAAUCCGCUGAAAAGGGUUGGGAUGAGCUGUGGAUCGGAGCGAAAGACUAAACAAACUUGGAGAUAGCUGGUACUCCCCGAAAUAGCUUUAGGGCUAGCCUUGCGUGGACAGUCAUGGAGGUAGAGCACUGAAUGGAUGAGGGCCCUUCACCGGGUACCGAUUUCAAUCAAACUCCGAAUGCCAUGACCCAAUGCGCAGGAGUCAGACGGCGACUGAUAAGGGCCGUCGUCGAAAGGGAAACAGCCCAGACCGCCGGCCAAGGUCCCCAAUGUGUGCCAAGUGGGAAAGGAAGUCCGAUUGCGAAGACAGCCAGGAGGUUGGCUCAGAAGCAGCCACACCUUCAAAGAGUGCGUAACAGCUCACUGGUCGAGUAGCCGGGCGCCGACAAUUCAACGGGGCUAAGCACACAACCGAAGCCGCGGCUCAGUACUUUGUACUGGGGGUAGGGGAGCAUUCCAUGUACGGACGAAGGUGCGCCGCAAGGCGAGCUGGACGGGAUGGAAGAGAGAAUGCAGGCAUGAGUAACGAAAAGAUGGGUGGGAUCCCCAUCCGCCGAAAGCCUAAGGUUUCCAGGGUAAAGGUAAUCUACCCAAGGGUUAGUCGGCCCCUAAGGCGAGGACGAAGGUCGUAGCCGAUGGGAAACGGGUCAACAUUCCCGUACCUCUCAACGAAUCGAUGGGACGAAGCAUAGGGCGAAGCGCAGCGGGGCGACGGUUGUCCCCGUCCAAGCGUCCGAGCGGAGGAGGCCUCCAGGCAAAUCCGGAGGCUGACGCGAGGCGCGAACGCGAGCGGACCUACGGGCGAGCGAAGUGCGUGACGUCGUCGUGCCGGGAAACAGUCUCUAAGGUGCGUCGUUGAGGGACCGUACUACAAACCGACACAGGUGGGCGAGCUGAGAAUGCGAAGGCGUACGGAAGAACUUGCGUUAAGGAACUCGGCAAAAUGCAUACGUAACUUCGGGAUAAGUAUGGCCGCGAGAGCGGCUGCAGAGAAACGGCCCAUGCGACUGUUUACCAAAAACACAGGUCUAUGCGAACCAGCAAUGGGAAGUAUAUGGACUGACACCUGCCCGGUGCUGGAAGGUUAAGGGGAGUCGUCAGCGCAAGCGAAGCGGCGAACCGAAGCCCCAGUAAACGGCGGCCGUAACUAUAACGGUCCUAAGGUAGCGAAAUUCCUUGUCGGGUAAGUUCCGACCCGCACGAAUGGUGUAACGAUCUGGACACUGUCUCAACUACCCACCCGGCGAAAUUGUAGUACCGGUGAAGAUGCCGGUUACCCGCGGCAAGACGGAAAGACCCCAUGGAGCUUUACUGUAGCCUGAUAUUGGGUCUCGGUAUUUUAUGUACAGGAUAGGCGGGAGACAAGGAAACCAGCACGCCAGUGUUGGCGGAGUCACCCUUGGGAUACCGCUCUUAAGAUAUUGAGAUUCUAACCUGCGGCCAUGAAUCUGGUCGGGGGACAUUGUCAGGUGGGCAGUUUGACUGGGGCGGUCGCCUCCUAAAAGGUAACGGAGGCGCUCAAAGGUUGGCUCAGCACGGACGGAAAUCGUGCAAUGAGUGUAAACGUAUAAGCCAGCCUAACUGCGAGACCGACGGGUCGAGCAGUAACGAAAGUUGGAGUUAGUGAUCCGGUGGUAUGUGAGUGGAAAUGCCAUCGCUCAACGGAUAAAAGCUACCCUGGGGAUAACAGGCUGAUCUCCCCCAAGCGUCCACAGCGACGGGGAGGUUUGGCACCUCGAUGUCGGCUCGUCGCAUCCUGGGGCUGUAUUCGGUCCCAAGGGUUUGGCUGUUCGCCAAUUAAAGCGGUACGCGAGCUGGGUUCAGAACGUCGUGAGACAGUUCGGUCCCUAUCUGCCACAGGCGUUGGAUGUUUGAGAGGCCCUGCUUCUAGUACGAGAGGACCGAAGUGGACGAACCUCUGGUGUAUCUGUUGUCGUGCCAACGGCAGGUGCAGAGUAGCUACGUUCGGAAGGGAUAAGCGCUGAAGGCAUCUAAGUGCGAAGCCCCCCUCAAGAUCGAACAUCCCUGGCCAUGAGCCAAUAAGGAACCAGACAGACUAUCUGGUCGAUAGGCCGCGGAUGCAGGCGCAGCGAUGCGCACAGUCCAGCGGUACUAAUCAUCCGAACGGCUUGACC